RNAcentral lists this ribosomal RNA (497 nucleotides) under uncultured bacterium. Its description in RNAcentral is "partial 16S ribosomal RNA". It matches the Rfam family "Bacterial small subunit ribosomal RNA", at positions 28 to 507 of the family's 1533-position model. The record is from RNAcentral.
GAUGAACGCUGGCGGCGUGCCUAAUACAUGCAAGUCGAGCGAACGGACGAGAAGCUUGCUUCUCUGAUGUUAGCGGCGGACGGGUGAGUAACACGUGGAUAACCUACCUAUAAGACUGGGUUAACUUCGGGAAACCGGAGCUAAUACCGGAUGAUAUUUUGAACCGCAUGGUUCAAAAGUGAAAGACGGUCUUGCUGUCACUUAUAGAUGGAUCCGCGCUGCAUUAGCUAGUUGGUAAGGUAACGGCUUACCAAGGCAACGAUGCAUAGCCGACCUGAGAGGGUGAUCGGCCACACUGGAACUGAGACACGGUCCAGACUCCUACGGGAGGCAGCAGUAGGGAAUCUUCCGCAAAGGGCGAAAGCCUGACGGAGCAACGCCGCGUGAGUGAUGAAGGUCUUCGGAUCGUAAAACUCUGUUAUUAGGGAAGAACAUAUGUGUAAGUAACUGUGCACAUCUUGACGGUACCUAAUCAGAAAGCCACGGCUAACUACGUG